This 100-nucleotide small RNA is filed under the name Salmonella enterica subsp. enterica. RNAcentral describes it as "partial RtT sRNA". It matches the Rfam family "RtT RNA", at positions 21 to 130 of the family's 130-position model. From Rfam's summary of the family: This family represents a bacterial cis-regulatory element known as RtT RNA. The exact function of RtT is unknown although it is thought that it may be involved in changing the cellular response in relation to amino acid starvation. Lineage: Bacteria; Pseudomonadati; Pseudomonadota; Gammaproteobacteria; Enterobacterales; Enterobacteriaceae. RNAcentral also lists the same sequence under 1 other name. The record is from RNAcentral.
GAUGAGAACCUCCGGGGGCAAGAGGUUCGACUCGAGCGAAGCGAGAGAACGUUGCGUCAGCAACGGCCCGCAGUGGCAAGUCAUCCUCUGUCACCGGCAG